UUGAGUAUUCGACGUCAAGAAUUUCGAAGGCAGUAUUGGAGCUGUUAUCGGAGUCAGUUUGUAUUAAAAAUUCUUUGAGUAACAGAAGAAAUUGUGCCUACGGAAGUCAAGUGGAUUCUACACCGAAGCCUCAUGCUUUAAUAACUUACUUUCGACGCCCGCUCGUGCUACAAAGGGUGGAUCCCUCGAAGAAGCAAGAAUAAAACGAAGAAGCGACAGUGGCUGUAAAAUUCGGCCGAGCUUUAAUCAGUAACUAUACCAGAUUGAGACGAGAAAGCUCGAAGGAUAUCGGCUCGCUCUCCCACGCUUAUCGAAUGUUAAUGACCCCCGCGUAAUGAAGGUAACCGGAGCGUAGAGUGUGCACUACCGUAGGCCAACGACAUUCGAAGCUGCAGCUGCAUAUCCCGAGAGUGAGAGAGAUAAGCCGCCACUAGACGAUGCUCUGCCACCGCCUCUCGCUUAUUAUUUAUUUAUUAUGCGUAUGGAUAUGUAAAAUAGCGCAGGCAGCAGAGCCUUCGUGUCUCUCCUCUUCUUCUGGUGCUGGAGGAGCUCCCUCGCCUACUCCUCGAACCUGUUUGACAGCCACGAGACACAUUCCUUAUAGAUCCUAUACCGAGUUAUACCGAGAUCGUUAUGAAGUGACAAGCUGGCAUCGGAGGCUGCCGCUGCGACGAGCCGUGUGGCGAUUGGGUCCUAGCUUGUUCAGGCUAUUUUGUUCCACUUACUUGCCAAGAAGCCGCGCCAGAACUUACCUCCUGCUUCUGUUGUAUUGGCCCAUUGAUUUCGAUCUCCCUGGAAUAAAGAAUUACGAACCAUUCGCCGUUUGGCUGCACAGCUCCGGAUAGGUGUUACUACGACGAGUACGCAGAAAUGACAACGGUUUCGAAAUUACGUAAAUUCGCAGAUUUAAAGGAAAAAUGAAGUACAUCGAGCGAUCUCAAGUACUUGCUCUUGUGGCAGCAAUAACUUGAGGUAACAUCACGAAGACGGUACCACCAACGCGCUCGGCCACGCCGGGGUAAAUGACAUCUAAAAUUGGCGCUAGGCGCGCGCAACAAGUUGAUUCGCCGCGCGUAGAGUAUAAUAGUACCCAACGGCAGUCGUCGGCGGCGCACUUUUCGCAGCCGUCGUCGCCGACGUCGACGUAACGCGCCGCGCACCGGCACUGUGCGUGUGUGCAUAGAGUCGUGCGUCGUGCCAAGUCCGUCCUUGUCGUCGGUCAGUCUUUUACUCCCACCUUUAGCGAAAAGGGGAAUUAUAUACGCGAGAAACUAUUAUACACUUUAACGCGAUACACGAUCUCACGAUCACGCGGAAUCUCUCUCGAUCGAAUUAAGCACAAAUUUAUGAGAGAGAAUACGAAGAGUAUAGUGACCACCACCAAGUGCAUCGUUGUCGCGAUCUCCGAGUAAUUUAUUAUAGUUAAUUUUUUUUUUUUGGUGCAUGUGCUACGGCUGCGCACGCGUGCGUUUUUCUGGCUGACAAUUAGAGAACCAACUGAAACGGUAGGAAAAUACAUAUCAGUGCAUAUAUUUUUAAAAAAUAAUCGCCAUUCCACGUAGGCGUGCACGAAUAAUUUUGUCCAAGAGUGCACUUUGCAAGCGUACCUGGCAUAUGCCAGGCGUGAACUGUACAUAAUCGAAGCUUUUUAAUGUCUUUACUGCAUUUAUUAGCUAUAAAAAUUGAUUAUUGCCAAGUACAAUAACCGUGCGAGUAGCUUUCCAAAUCUUGA
Molecule: long non-coding RNA, 1732 nt
Organism: Trichogramma pretiosum
Lineage: Eukaryota; Metazoa; Arthropoda; Insecta; Hymenoptera; Trichogrammatidae
Exons: 3
Source: RefSeq, a predicted model, not a curated record